This 77-nucleotide transfer RNA is filed under the name Azomonas macrocytogenes. RNAcentral's name for it is "tRNA-Arg". It matches the Rfam family "tRNA". Rfam says of the family: Transfer RNA (tRNA) molecules are approximately 80 nucleotides in length. Their secondary structure includes four short double-helical elements and three loops (D, anti-codon, and T loops). Further hydrogen bonds mediate the characteristic L-shaped molecular structure. tRNAs have two regions of fundamental functional importance: the anti-codon, which is responsible for specific mRNA codon recognition, and the 3' end, to which the tRNAs corresponding amino acid is attached (by aminoacyl-tRNA synthetases). tRNAs cope with the degeneracy of the genetic code in two manners: having more than one tRNA (with a specific anti-codon) for a particular amino acid; and 'wobble' base-pairing, i.e. permitting non-standard base-pairing at the 3rd anti-codon position. The record is from RNAcentral. RNAcentral also lists the same sequence under 1 other name. Lineage: Bacteria; Pseudomonadati; Pseudomonadota; Gammaproteobacteria; Pseudomonadales; Pseudomonadaceae.
GCAUCUGUAGCUCAGCUGGAUAGAGUACUGCCCUCCGAAGGCAGGGGUCGUGGGUUCGAAUCCCGCCAGAUGCGCCA